GACGAACGCUGGCGGCGUGCUUAACACAUGCAAGUCGAACGAAGUGGCGAACGGGUGAGUAAUACGUGGGUAACCUGCCCUCCUUUUUGGGAUAAGCUUUGGAAACGGGGUCUAAUACCGAAUAAAGGGGGAUGGGCUCGCGGCCUUUCAGCUUGUUGGUGGGGUGAUGGCCUACCAAGGCGGUGUCGGGUAGCCGGCCUGAGAGGGUGACCGGAAACGUUGGGACGGAGAUACGGCCCAGACUGCUACGGGAGGCAGCAGUGGGGAAUAUUGCACAAUGGGCGAAAGCCUGAUGCAGCGACGCCGCGUGGGGGAUGAGGGCUUUCGGGUUGUAAACCUCUUUCGAUAUCGAGCGGGUAGGUGGAGAAGAAGCGCCGGCUAACUCCGUGCCAGCAGCCGCGGUAAUUC
Molecule: ribosomal RNA, 408 nt
Filed under: uncultured bacterium
Lineage: Bacteria
Description: partial 16S ribosomal RNA
Rfam family: Bacterial small subunit ribosomal RNA
Source: RNAcentral